Long non-coding RNA from Stegodyphus dumicola, 362 nucleotides. Lineage: Eukaryota; Metazoa; Arthropoda; Arachnida; Araneae; Eresidae. The record is from RefSeq and is a predicted model, not a curated record.
UUUCUUUUGUAUUUUUGCAGAGGUUUUGGCUUCGUGACGUUUGCUGAUCCCACUAGUGUAGAUAAAGUGUUAGCUAGCGGAACCCACGAACUAGAUGGUAAAAAGAUCGACCCCAAAGUUGCCUUUCCAAAACGGGCACACCCAAAGUUUCCAUUACUACCAGCACUCCCUGAAGUCCAAGGUUUUCUGGUGCUACUGAGCAAGUCACUUCUAUAAUAUUUAGUAUAUUGUAAAUUUAUUUUUGUUUGUAACGGACAGGAUUUUACCGCUGAUUAAAAAGAGUAGCCCCUUUUAGCAGAUAAAUAAAAUAAAAAUGAAAUAAAAAAAAAUCUGAAAGGUUUCAGGUUUUAAAUUACGUCCAA